Molecule: long non-coding RNA, 934 nt
Organism: Siniperca chuatsi (mandarin fish)
Lineage: Eukaryota; Metazoa; Chordata; Actinopteri; Centrarchiformes; Sinipercidae
Exons: 3
Source: RefSeq, a predicted model, not a curated record
GGCAAGUACAGGCAGACCGGUAGGCAGACAGGUAAAGAACAGACAAAAGGCAGAUAGGUUACUGGCUGGCAGUGGUGGAAGCAGGGGAGUUAGUCCAAGGUCGCAAACAGUUCACAAGGGAGCAGGCAAAAUACAAAACUCCAGGAUCCAGCCAAGGUCUAAGGGAGACAAAGAAUCCAAUACAAACUCACGGUAAGAAUGCUGGGGAACUGGGCACAGGAACCAGGUACAACAAAAGGAGCACCAAACAGCGACACUCACAAAGGUCAGGAACAUCCCAAGACAGGAAGAAAACUCACGGUAGGAAUCACUCAGCAGGAACAACACCAUGUGAAACAACAUUGAUCCAACACUGAACAAGGAAAGAGACCCAGACUAAAUACCCUAGGGGAGGUGAGACAACGAGACACAGGUGCAAACAAUCAAGGAAGGACCAAGGGCCAGGUGGGAGACUUCGGGCGGACGGCCCAGGGGCUGGACAUGUGCAGAGCUGAGGACGUCGGGCGGACCUCGGGCGGACGGGCGGACCGCCCGCCCCCAGGGACAGAGGGCUGCUGCGAUCCAGCAGGGAGUGAUGGCUGCUGCGAUCCAGCUGUGACUGGAGGCCGCCGCCGUGGCGCUGGGCCGCUGCGCAGGCGAACAGCUGGGCAGGCGAGCAACUGUGGGAGCCAUGCUUCCUCCUGGAGCAUUUCCCAGAAGGCGCCGAGAAAGCAACAGACUGAUGUGCCCCCUGGCUUGCAGGCUGAGAUGCUGAGAGACUAGCACGUAGGAGGAGCAGUUGCCAGGCAACCAGUGGAGAUUCCAGGAAGUAACUGGUCCAAGAAAUAAUCUGGCACAUAACCCCCCGUAGCAGGUCUCUGAACUUGCUGACCUCCUACGCCAUAAUUUAAGUUGCUUAUACCCAGUAAUGAAAUAAGGCCUGCUUGUAUUUAAU